This 1484-nucleotide unclassified non-coding RNA is filed under the name Hevea brasiliensis (rubber tree). The record is from RNAcentral. Lineage: Eukaryota; Viridiplantae; Streptophyta; Magnoliopsida; Malpighiales; Euphorbiaceae.
GGCAAGCACCAAUGCACACAAUCAGAAAUAGUCACAUUCUCAUGUGGCCAAUGCCCAUAAUGGUUAGGGUGUCCAUCUGGCCUCACAACCAUUGCUUCAUUUAUGUCUAGCAAUCUAAACUUCAAACCUCUCUUCUUCCCUUCCCUUUCUGCUCUCCUUAACUCCUCAACUUGAGUCAAGUAGAGCUCCAAAUCAUCCCCUUCCAAUUUCAUUUCUCCUCUUGAAACUGGCCUUGUCCUGAUACAAUUCCCUCCUCUGUUCCAUUUCCCAUUCUCAAAAUGUGCAGGUGACAAUGUCCUCAAAAAUGUCACCCCAUUAAAAUUUUCAAGUCCCGUAAGGAUCUUGAAAGCAGUCCUGAAAACCCUUCUGUAUCCAUAUAACAUAGUAAGGUUCUUGAUAUUGUUUUUGAGGCACAAAUGGCAACCCACAACCUUGCCAUUUUCAAAGAAUACCUGUGGUCCAUAGAACCAUCUUCCAGCUGAGAUGAUGACAUAGUCAAAGGCUUCAAUUUGAGCUGCCCACACAUCAUUUGCCUCAUCUAAGUAAAGAUUCAUGAGGCGAUUGUAGGUUGGGCCAUUAGUGUCUGUGUCAAUGGCUUUAACCAAAUGAGGUGACCAAAAGGAUGCUAGUGUGAAGUUGUAGUUAACAUAGAACCAUCGUUUCAAUCUUGAAUCUGAUGUAUAAGAAACAUCUAAAGGAUAGACCACCUGCUGUAAGAGAGAGAAAGACAAUAAGGAAAAUGAUUCAGUACUGAUUGAUUCUUGCAAUCUGACAAGCCAUGCACUUACAGUGGCUAAGAGGCAGAGCAAUGACUGCAUUUGGUUUCUUGCCAGAGAGUCCCCAACAAAUGCCAUUGACUUCCCUCUUACAAGCUCCAAGAACUGGUUUGCAUCAAAUAAAGGGAGCUCACAUUGGUCAGGUUUCCAUCUCCAUUUCAAAAAAUCAGUGUCAGGUCUGCCAAACUUGAUGCAGCUAUGUUGAUCAAAGAUUUCCUGACAUGUUGCAUUAGUAUAGUAAGACCUGUUGGGGUACCAAAUCCAUCUUCCUUGGAAAAUAGUACAUGUAGUCUUCCCAAAAUUUAUGGUCUUAAGAGUUCUCAAAGAUGGCCAGGGUGAAGAGGAGUUGAAGAUGUAGAGUGGAAUAAUAGUAACAAGAAAAAGGAUAAGGCCUAGUAGGAGAAGUUUGAUCAUGGUAGGUUGAUGCCAAUGUGUAGCUCAAUGAAAUGAGCAUAACUAGAGAAAUUAAAAAUGGGACAAUUUGCAUAAUAGACACACCAAUAUAGGUAAUAUAUAAACAACUGGAUGAUAAGGAUGAAGUUCUUCGUAAGAGUGAGUAAUAUGGGCCAGGAAAAUCCUUACCUACACUACAUCCAAUCAGUCUAAAAACUGUCACAUGAACAAAAUGUGUUGAAAUUAUUUCAGGGUUCAUUGUUUUUAAGUGUGAACUUAUCAGUUUGGUAAACUGAGAGAGAGACAGAGAGAGAG